AGUUGGUGGAGUGAUUUGUCUGGUUAAUUCCGAUAACGAACGAGACCUUAACCUGCUAACUAGUAGCAUGUGUUUCGACACAUGUCGACUUCUUAGAGGGACUGACUACGUUUAGUAGUCGGAAGUUUGAGGCAAUAACAGGU
Molecule: ribosomal RNA, 143 nt
Filed under: uncultured fungus
Lineage: Eukaryota; Fungi
Description: partial small subunit ribosomal RNA
Rfam family: Eukaryotic small subunit ribosomal RNA
Source: RNAcentral